AGAGUUUGAUCCUGGCUCAGAACGAACGCUGGCGGCAGGCUUAACACAUGCAGGUCGAACGCUCCGCAAGGAGAGUGGCAGACGGGUGAGUAACGCGUGGGAACAUACCCCUCGGUUCGGAAUAACUCAGGGAAACUUGAGCUAAUACCGAAUACGGUCGAGAGGCGAAAAGAUUUAUCGCCGAGGGAUUGGCCCGCGUCCGAUUAGCUAGUUGGUGAGGUAAUGGCUCACCAAGGCGACGAUCGGUAGCUGGUCUGAGAGGAUGAUCAGCCACAUUGGGACUGAGACACGGCCCAAACUCCUACGGGAGGCAGCAGUGGGGAAUAUUGGACAAUGGGCGAAAGCCUGAUCCAGCCAUGCCGCGUGAGUGAUGACGGCCUUAGGGUUGUAAAGCUCUUUCAUCAGGGACGAUAAUGACGGUACCUGAAGAAGAAGCC
This 437-nucleotide ribosomal RNA is filed under the name uncultured bacterium. Its description in RNAcentral is "bacterial SSU rRNA". It matches the Rfam family "Bacterial small subunit ribosomal RNA", at positions 8 to 492 of the family's 1533-position model. The record is from RNAcentral.